Molecule: long non-coding RNA, 1425 nt
Organism: Rosa chinensis
Lineage: Eukaryota; Viridiplantae; Streptophyta; Magnoliopsida; Rosales; Rosaceae
Exons: 11
Source: RefSeq, a predicted model, not a curated record
UGCAGAGACGAAGAGGGAUCUUCUUGGUAUAUUGGGUCUGUCAGUAGCUUUGAAAGAUGAGUUCUUUUUUUUUUAACCCAACUCGCUUAUGAUCAUUCAAGGCUUCAAACUCCUAAAUCUGAUUCUCAAAGUCUUGAUCUUUUGUUGCUUUUGAUUUACUUGCAGCACCUGUGUACUCAAUUGGACCAACUUAGGAGUGGAGUGCCUUCUGUGUAAUAAAAAGUUUCUGGUCAAGUUUUUCGGGCUUCCACUGACUUCAACCUUCGUCCCAUCGACUGUAUCUCUCUCUUCAACUGUUACACCCAAAUACCCAAAUCGCCGAUCCCAAUCGUGCCACCAUCUUCUGUAGCCGUAUAAGCGAGAUUGAGAGAGUUCGGUUCGUUGCUUUUGAUCUGUGGAUUUGGAAUUCCUUUCUUUGUUUCUGCUUAUUAUCUCCUCUAAUUUCAGAUUAACAUUGACUUCAAGACGUUUCCAUUUGAACAGGCUUCAGUUCAGUUGGUUGACUAGCACAAUUGGUUGGUGAGAGAAACAUUGGAAAAGGUCAAUACUCUCAGGAUAAUUUCUCUUUGAAAACUAAAGACUCUUCCAGUGGUUACUGAAAGUCCAGCUGAUCAACUGUUUAAGUUAGGACGAAAGAGGCGAAUGCGAAGAGGUCUUGGGACUAAUUUUCUGCUGCUGUUCCUUUGUUUUCUGCUCAGUGUUACCUGUGUUUUGUAUUGUUAAUCAUCUUUUGGGAACAGUUUGCAGUCAGACUCUUUGAUUGUUUUGGAUUCAGUCAUGGCAUCAGAUAUUCCAAAAAGAAAAGCGAAAAGAUCUUUGCAAGCUAAUUGUGUAGAAAAUGAUGAUCAUCAAGAACAACAUCAGAUCAAAUCAAGGAGGUGGAAGCAAGUAUGUCAACCGAUAAUGGUAGAAGGAGGUCAGAGUGCACAAACCAGCAAUAAAAGUCUAAACAUAUUGGAACAUCUUGAUAAAUGAAUUAGAAGGAAUCAACUCAAUCCAACUGUCAUUCUCGACCAAACUCUGUUUGCUCAUGGAAGUUCAAAUGAAGAUGGUACAAGUAUAAUCGGAGUGUCGCGGCAUUUAACAAGCAAUAAUUCUACUCAACUUGCAGAAAUCGAUGAAAUGAGAGGAGAGAAGAGAUACAAGUGAUGCUGUGGUAGAGUGGCUAACACAGUUUCUAAGGUGUCUCUGAAAUUCAUUUACUUGACUCUUAAGGCAGCUGCUACAACAUUUCUAUUCGUUUACGUUAGCACUCCCUGCUCCCUGCAACACUUGAUGUUGUCAUAGAAUGCUAUGAUAGAAUGUUAUUGUAAACUGCGAUAAUGUAAACCAAACAAUUUUAUAGAGAAGAAAUUUUGUCUCUUCUUUUAUCAUUGUGAUCAAGAAUCAAGUCUUUUCAUUCAUAUCUAUCAUUAUUGUAAAUUA